AUCCCAAUCCACCACAUUUUUUGUUUUAACAAUAUGACGCUAAACUAUAUAGAAUUGUGGGGCCUUACUGUGUCCUAUGGUCGCCCCAAAGAAUGGAUUUUGAAAAUCUAGACCAGGGAACUUAGGUUAUUUAAAAGAAUUAACCAUUGAAGAAAUUAUAGGGACCAACAACAAUUCAGAUUAAAAAAAAAAACGGAAAUGAAAAUGGUACAAGGAAGAAAUAAAUGGAAAAAACCAAGAUUCAAAUUUCAUCUAAUAAUCCAUGGGUUUUCUAAUAUUAACGUACCUCAAAGAGGCCCUUUGAGGAAUGCAGAUUCUUGGGUUGGGUUUUUUAAUAUUAAAAUACGUACCUCAAAGAGAGCCUGUGAGGAAUGCAGAUUCUCCCGUGCCCUCUCUCUCUAACUAUUGCUCUGGUUUUCUCUCUCGAAAUGAAUCUGUAAUAUGUACGGACAUUCUAUGUAUAUAUAUAUUUUUAUGAACUCGUAAAGUUUUUUUUGGGAAUAAAACCAAAUAACAAAAAUCAAGAACUCAUAUGGUUUCUUGAUCCUACGCGUUAUUUGAAUGUUUUCUCGAUCCUACUCAUCUUAUCCUUUUAUUCAGGAUGCGAUU
RNAcentral lists this long non-coding RNA (609 nucleotides) under Amborella trichopoda. RNAcentral describes it as "long non-coding RNA (ATRI_LNC000522)". Lineage: Eukaryota; Viridiplantae; Streptophyta; Magnoliopsida; Amborellales; Amborellaceae. The record is from RNAcentral.